GAAAUGCGAUAAAUAAUAUGAAUUGCAGAAUUCAGCGAAUCAUCGAGUUUUUGAACGCACAUUGCGCCCUCUGGUAUUCCGGAGGGCACGUCCGACCGAGCGUCGCUUUACCACUCAGGCCCCGCCUGGUGUUGGGGCAUGCGGGAAGCCGCAGCCCCCAAAUACAGUGGCGGUCCCCGUGGGGUCCUUUGCGCAGUAAUAGCAAUCGCUGUCGCCUCGGAGCCUCCGCGGGCGGCCCGCCGUAAAACGCCCAACGUCUUCUACAUGUUGACCUCGGGUCGGACGAGAUUACCCGCUGAACUUAA
This 305-nucleotide unclassified non-coding RNA is filed under the name uncultured Sordariomycetes. RNAcentral's name for it is "sequence contains ITS1". The stretch from base 1 to 105 matches the Rfam family "5.8S ribosomal RNA", at positions 50 to 154 of the family's 154-position model. Lineage: Eukaryota; Fungi; Ascomycota; Sordariomycetes. The record is from RNAcentral.